This is a non-coding RNA of Momordica charantia (bitter melon), 1067 nucleotides long. Lineage: Eukaryota; Viridiplantae; Streptophyta; Magnoliopsida; Cucurbitales; Cucurbitaceae. The record is from RefSeq and is a predicted model, not a curated record.
CAGGAUCGCCGUGUUGCCAUACACGAACUGCUCGAACUUCCAUGGCUUCAGGCUCACCGUUACGCUCUCUCCGACUGCUAAUUUCAGGCCUGGAAUUGGAGUGAGUUGCAGCGAGAUUCGUGAUGGGAAGUGCUUUUCUGAUCUGCCGACUCCUCGCUUGGACAAGAGAGUGUCGUUCACAAGCUGGAUGAUGUCGCACCUGUGAGAAUCGAGUCGAGGAUUAAGGUGAAUGAUCGCUUUCCUGCUCAAGCUACAACAUGUCUCACUCGAGCAAUGUCAACAGACUUAUCAAGGAUAAACUCACAGCGGAACAACUUGAUAUGUUUCGUAGAAGAACAAUAUUUGGUCGAUUUGUCAACUUGGAGAUGAUGUUCUACAGUGGUGUAGUUCAUCACUUUCUAUCAAGGGAGGUUGCUGGUAGCAGUGACGACAGUAUGAGAUUCUUAAUUUGUGGCAACGUGUUGACAUUCUCGAAAAAUCAAUUCUUGCUUGUAACUGGAUUGUGGCGGCUGUCCGGUAAGGUGAUCCAGAAAUAGCUUCAAUAGAAUAAGUUGCGGAGGAAGUACUUCAAUGAUGAAGCCUCCAUGCUGCUCAAAGAAUUUUUGAAGGUUUACARCCAGACUGAUUUCGAGGACGAUGAGGACUCCGUUAAAGUUACAUUAAUGUUGUACACGGAGCUUGUAAUGAUGGGAAAGAGCAGGAGCUUGUCGAAAGUUGACAUCGACUUGUACAACAAAGUCGAUGACUUGACUACUUCAACUACUUGGACUAGGGUUAUGAGGUUUGGAGUAGGACAGUUAACGGCCUGAAGCGUGCGAUAAAUGAAAAAGUUGCGCUAUACAAGAAUAAAGUAAGAACGAACAAAAAAUACCAAGUAAAGUAUAACCUAGUGGGAUUUCCUCUUGCGUUUCAGGUGUGGAUAUAUGAGGUUGUCCAUCUCUCAUCACUCCCGAUUUGAGCGAGACUGCGAUUCCUUGGAUACUUUGGUAUUCGUGCAGUAGGGUCGUCGGUACAAAAGAUUUGAGAGAGGAGGUCUUUGGUUCCGCGGUGUUGGUCAUAUCUUAUCC